This is an RNA transcript of Pyrus x bretschneideri (Chinese white pear), 2001 nucleotides long. It is a transcript of the gene named OVARIAN TUMOR DOMAIN-containing deubiquitinating enzyme 5-like, with no coding region annotated. The transcript is spliced from 3 exons. The record is from RefSeq and is a predicted model, not a curated record. Lineage: Eukaryota; Viridiplantae; Streptophyta; Magnoliopsida; Rosales; Rosaceae.
GCAUUGUACGUAGGUCAAAAAUGCUCCAGGCCAUCAUCCGCAGUUAUUAAUGGUUGAUGGAUUGUGAAAAGCUACAAUGGGUACAUGAACGACUGAAGAUAUAUGGAAGUUAAAUGCAAUUCUUUGUAUAUCUUUUGCUAGCAUGAGAACUUCAUUUCAUCAAUAUGGCAUGACAGUUCUUGACCUUACUGAAAGUGACAUUUUCAUCAAAAUAGCUGCUGUUAAUUGUCUUGUUGUCUUCUUUAUAUUGUAUGAAAAUUGUGAAUUUUUCCAAAACCCUAAUCGUUUUCAUGUACCAAAACUCUUGCAAUUUCUGCCAUUGAUGGACAAACAAUAUUUGACCUACCAGUGGCGGAUCUAGGAAAAAAUCUUGAGAGGGUCAGGGAGGAAAUAGCUCACGCGCAAAUUUGUUGGAUGAAAACAACACAUACAUUUUUAGUGUGGUAUUUUCUUGAAUAAUUAGUGUGUUAUAGUCAAUGGCGGAGCCAAUGCGGGGGCAUUGAGCUCCCUUGACCCCAAUAGAUUUGUAACUUAUUCCUUUAAAAAAUAAUUUGACCUCUUUAAUGAAAGAAGCCAGUUUUUCCAGUACCCAGUCCACACCAGAUCUGAAAGAAGCCAUCAUUCCUCCCAGCGAUCUGUCUUGUUCUCCAGGUCGCGUUCUCCCGGCUUGGCAUCCUUCCUCUGGUAAGCUUCUCUUGUCUGAAAUUUCAUUAUUUAUUUGUUUGGGUUUUUAAAUUUAGGGAGGGGAUAAUCUGAGUGAAAGAGGGGUGGGAAUAGCGAAGGGAUGAGGUUUGCAGUGAUUAGUAGAGUGAAAUAGGAAUUGGACGUAAGGGGUUAGGGCUUUGGCCGUGACAAGCUUCAAAGGCUUAGCUUGCGAUCGCCGUCGACGGCAAGGGAGGACUCUCGGGAAAGAGAUCAAAACUUCAGGACAAGGAAACUGAAAUGAAAAAGGCAGCUGCCAAAGGGAGCAACGCUGAACAAAAAGCUAAGAAAAAACAGGUGGAGGAAGAGAUUACUCGGCUUUCUGCUAAUCUUAAAGAAAAACAUGCUGCAGAACUUGCUUCGUUAGGCUAUAGUGCUAGUAAUGGUAAUGAGAAAAGUAAACUUGACACUUUAGUGAAGGCCAUAGCUGGUGUUUCUGUCACCAGUCAACCUGAGCAGGUAAAGCCCAGCAAGAGUUUGAAGAGGCGAGAGAAGAGGGCUCAGCAAGAUGUAGCCAGGGAACAAAGAAUUCAAGAAGAGCAGAGCAAUCUAGUAAGUGAUCGAAUGAUUGAAAGCUAUUUUUUGACCCCAUUGUCUUAAAUUCCUGGCUCCACCACUGGCUAUAGUCCUCUUCCGAGCCUUAUUGCACGGUUGUUGUCAGACGAAGACAAACCUCCGAUCAAGUCUGUCAACGGAUAUUGGCAUACGCAAGAAACUUGGUCGAUAGAUACCGACAACAAUGCACACAAAGACACUAGCAAAUGGUGUAGAGUCACACUCAGCGACAAGGUUGUUGGAAAACCCCGGCCAAAAAGUUAAGAAAAUCUCAGGUCUUAACUUUCUUGACAACAAUGCUGUGAAUGUUGUUUCAAUACUGCUGACAACAAUUCUCACUUCCAUUGCCUGCGUUUCCGUUUUUUGAGAUCGACCUGCCCAACCAAAUAUCUUUCCAUUAUCAGCUAAGAUGGUGUUGAUGCAAUUAGAAACUGAUUCAUGUAGGCAGGCACGAUAACAAUAGUCCAUCAUGGUAAUCUAUGAUUUGGAUAAAUGGUUUAGCAAAUGCCAUCCUUCUGACAAGUGUGGUUUGAGGAACUGAUACUUCUAGAUGGCUAGCGAGCAGCAUUGUAAAAUUUUCGGCUGCAAAACGUGCGUCAUUGAAAUCUAUUCGAGCUAAUUUCGAGUCACAUUAAGCAGUGAAUUUGAUUUUGUUCACACUUACGAUCACAUUGUAUGUAUAUUGGCCUUGAUCCUAGACCCAACUUGCCUUAAUCUUACAAUUUUUUGUGUGGCUGUAACUGA